This is a non-coding RNA of Potamilus streckersoni, 77 nucleotides long. The record is from the annotation of a GenBank genome assembly. Lineage: Eukaryota; Metazoa; Mollusca; Bivalvia; Unionida; Unionidae.
GACCAUUCAGGUGGCCUAGUGGUUAGAGCGUCCGCCUCGGAUACGAGAGGUCGCGUGUUCGAACCCCGACCGAGUCA